AUGCAGAUUGCCGGACUCAACACCCUCGGCAUCUCAAUCGCGCGCAUCGACUAUGCUCCCUUGGGCCAGAACCCACCACAUACGCACCCCCGCGCCACUGAGAUCCUCACAGUGCUCGAGGGGACACUAUACGUUGGAUUUGUCACAUCCAACCUGCCCGCCCCAGCCAGAAACAAGUUCUUCUCGAAGGUGCUCAACAAAGGUGAUGUGUUUGUCUUCCCCGUGGGGCUCAUCCACUUCCAAUUCAACCCCAACCCCCAUCAGCCCGCCGUUGCAAUUGCCGCGCUCAGCAGCCAGAACCCAGGGGCUAUCACAAUUGCCAAUGCAGUGUUUGGGUCAGACCCACCAAUAUCCGAUGAUGUUCUUGCCAAGGCGUUUCAGGUGGAAAAGAAUACAAUAGACUGGCUCCAGGCUCAGUUCUGGGAGAACAACCACAACUAA
Molecule: ribosomal RNA, 441 nt
Filed under: Triticum aestivum (bread wheat)
Lineage: Eukaryota; Viridiplantae; Streptophyta; Magnoliopsida; Poales; Poaceae
Description: partial small subunit ribosomal RNA
Source: RNAcentral